UGGGAACGUACCUUUCGGUUCGGGAUAACCCAGGGAAACUUGGGCUAAUACCGGAUACGUCCUUAGGGAGAAAGAUUGAUUUGCCGAGAGAUCGGCCCGCGUCUGAUUAGCUAGUUGGUGGGGUAAGAGCCUACCAAGGCGACGAUCGGUAGCUGGUCUGAGAGGAUGAUCAGCCACACUGGAACUGAGACACGGUCCAGACUCCUACGGGAGACAG
RNAcentral lists this ribosomal RNA (217 nucleotides) under uncultured bacterium. RNAcentral describes it as "partial 16S ribosomal RNA". It matches the Rfam family "Bacterial small subunit ribosomal RNA", at positions 118 to 351 of the family's 1533-position model. The record is from RNAcentral.